AAAAAUUCCAUGAAAAGAAUCCUCCAGUCUGCUCAGAAACAUGACCAGGACUGCGGAACAGGCGGUAGCAGGAAUAAUGCCGAAGGGCUCUCCUCCACGGGACUCACUGUCCUGACCAAUGUGCCUGCAGAGAACUCCCCACAAGACGAUGGAUCUUUCAGAAAAACUCCCAG
Molecule: long non-coding RNA, 173 nt
Organism: Suncus etruscus (white-toothed pygmy shrew)
Lineage: Eukaryota; Metazoa; Chordata; Mammalia; Eulipotyphla; Soricidae
Exons: 3
Source: RefSeq, a predicted model, not a curated record